Molecule: unclassified non-coding RNA, 249 nt
Filed under: Glomus sp.
Lineage: Eukaryota; Fungi; Glomeromycota; Glomeromycetes; Glomerales; Glomeraceae
Description: partial internal transcribed spacer 2
Rfam family: 5.8S ribosomal RNA (bases 1-72)
Source: RNAcentral
GUGAAUCAUCGAAUUUUUGAACGCAAAUUGCACUCUCCGGUUUUCCGGGAGAUUAUUCCUGUUUGCGCUUCAGCCUAAAAAAAAUCGACAUUUUUGCUGUUUUAUGGUGACUUUCGUCGGAGAUGGGUUAUCUUAAAUCUCGGUUUAAGCGACUUAAAAAUUUUUUUUACUAUUCUAAGAAUGUUUCUAAGUUUUUUCUUUUCCGUUUAAGGUAUCGAAUUUCUUUUUAGCCUUGGCCUUCAUUUCGGA